CGCGUAGGCGGUUUGAUAAGUCAGAUGUGAAAGCCCAUGGCUUAACUGUGGAAGUGCAUUUGAAACUGUCAGACUUGAGUACCAGAGGGGAAAGUGGAAUUCCCGGUGUAGAGGUGAAAUUCGUAGAUAUCGGGAGGAAUACCGGUGGCGAAGGCGACUUUCUGGCUGGAUACUGACGCUGAGGCGCGAAAGCGUGGGGAGCAAACA
Molecule: ribosomal RNA, 207 nt
Filed under: uncultured delta proteobacterium
Lineage: Bacteria; Deltaproteobacteria
Also listed under: 1 other name
Description: partial 16S ribosomal RNA
Rfam family: Bacterial small subunit ribosomal RNA
Source: RNAcentral